UCCAGAAAGACGGCCAGGUGGUACCUCCCAUGGGGCAGGCGGAGAAAAGGCGGUAGAUUAUAUGGGAAGACCCCCCAGUGGGCGAAGGGCGCUUGUCUUGGUCUGUAACCGGCCGCUGAGGCUCGAAAAGCAUGGGUAGCGACCAGGAUUAGAUACCCUGGUAGUCCAUGCCGUAAACGAUGAAUGCUAGGUGUUGGAGGGUUUCCGCCCUUCAGUGCCGCAGCUAACGCAUUAAGCAUUCCGCCUGGGGAGUACGACCGCAAGGUUGAAACUCAAAGGAAUUGACGGGGGCCCGCACAAGCGGUGGAGCAUGUGGUUUAAUUCGAAGCAACGCGAAGAACCUUACCAGGUCUUGACAUCUUUUGAUCACCUGAGAGAUCAGGUUUCCCCUUCGGGGGCAAAAUGACAGGUGGUGCAUGGUUGUCGUCAGCUCGUGUCGUGAGAUGUUGGGUUAAGUCCCGCAACGAGCGCAACCCUUAUGACUAGUUGCCAGCAUUUAGUUGGGCACUCUAGUAAGACUGCCGGUGACAAACCGGAGGAAGGUGGGGAUGACGUCAAAUCAUCAUGCCCCUUAUGACCUGGGCUACACACGUGCUACAAUGGAUGGUACAACGAGUUGCGAGACCGCGAGGUCAAGCUAAUCUCUUAAAGCCAUUCUCAGUUCGGACUGUAGGCUGCAACUCGCCUACACGAAGUCGGAAUCGCUAGUAAUCGCGGAUCAGCACGCCGCGGUGAAUACGUUCCCGGGCCUUGUACACACCGCCCGUCACACCAUGAGAGUUUGUAACACCCGAAGCCGGUGGCGUAACCCUUUUAGGGAGCGAGCCGUCUAAGUGACCAAAAGUUGGGA
RNAcentral lists this ribosomal RNA (850 nucleotides) under Lacticaseibacillus paracasei. Its description in RNAcentral is "bacterial SSU rRNA". It matches the Rfam family "Bacterial small subunit ribosomal RNA", at positions 614 to 1480 of the family's 1533-position model. Lineage: Bacteria; Bacillati; Bacillota; Bacilli; Lactobacillales; Lactobacillaceae. The record is from RNAcentral.